Molecule: long non-coding RNA, 2796 nt
Filed under: Sus scrofa (pig)
Lineage: Eukaryota; Metazoa; Chordata; Mammalia; Artiodactyla; Suidae
Description: lncRNA (ENSSSCG00025010945.1)
Source: RNAcentral
GCUCGAGAGCUUUUAGAACUCCCCAAGCCCGGGAUGUAACCAGACCAAUUAAUUCAGAAUCCCUCCGGAGAGACUCAAGCAUCAGUAUUUUAAAAGUUCCCUGGGUGAUUACAGAGUUCAGCCUGGCCUGAGAGCUACGUUCCAGAUUAAGCACUGCCUGAGGAGGGCCUCUGUGGUGGCACACUCCUACCUACACCCUUGGGUAAUGCCCUCCCCUUGAGGGUGGCCUGAACCUGCAGAGCUGCUUCUAACGGAGAGAAUACAACAAAAGUGAGGAGACCUCCCUUCAGAGAUGAGGUUACAAAAGGCUGCAACUUCUGAGCUGCUCAGACUUUCUCUCUGGCUCUUCUUUCGCUCUGAGGAAGCCAGCUGCUGCGUUGUGAGAGCAGAGCAGAGAGGCCCCCUGGCAAGGAACAGAGGCUGCCCCCCUGCUGGUGGCCCUUCAGGGAUUUGUGAUGGUCAGUUGUAUGUGUCGGCCUGGCCAGACUAUUCAAUGAAACGCUCAUCCAGGUGUUACCGUGAAGGUAUUUUGAAGAUGGAAUGACCACAUCAAGUCAGUUGACUUUAUGCCAAGGAGAUAUUCCUGGAUAAUCUAGGUCAGAUUCAAUGAACUGAAAGCCUUAAAAACAGAGCUGAGGUUUCCCGGAGGAGAGGGAGUGUAGCAUCAACUCCAGCCGGAAAGAUUACACCUGCCUGACAGCCUGCCUUAUAGAUUUCAGGCUUACCUGGCCAGCCACCGCUGUUACCUGAGGCAAUUCCUUGCACUAUCUACACCUAGAGACAGAUGGAGAUGUGGAUGCUGAUUGAGUGGGGGUGCAGGUGCAGCACCCACAGCCACCCAUACCUGAGGAUUCAGGUGUAGAUGUGGCCACGGACAUGGACAAAGCUAUAUGCUACGGACUCUGUUUCCUGGUGGAGCCCAAGUUUAUACGGACCUGAAUCCAGUCAACAACCACUAAGUGAGCUUGGGCGUGGAUCCACCACAUGUCCAACCUUCAGAUGAGCUGCAAGCCACCAACUUGAUUGCCGGCGUAUGAGAGAUAUUCAGCUAAGCUAUAUCUGGAUUCUUAGAGAACCUAGGAGAUGAUAAAUGUUGUUGGGUUAAGCUGUUGUCAUGAUAAUUUGAUACCCAGCAACAGCUAACUAAUACAGCCAUCACUUCAGACUGUGCAGGAUGUGGCCUUCCCCAAGGCAGUUAGCUAAGAGGCCAGGAGGAAGGGACCUUUUUCUAUUUUAUGCAAAGGAAAUCCUGUGGGAUGGCAAUGGCCCUGAGUUGAGGAUAAGGAGAGGAUGGGUCUCUUCAUUUUACUAAUGAAAAAAUGAACUCCUGGGAGACUCAGUCUCAGGGAGAUUAAGCAUCUUACCCAGUGUCAAGAGCCAGGAUUAGGAACCAGGAAUCGAGUUCCAGUCUAGAUUUUUCUAGUAAGCUAUUCGCCACCUAGAUUCCUAGGUCUAUAUCCCUACGCUGCCCUGUGGCACUUGUGGUCCCCACUGUGGUGCUCUUGCCUUUUGACACAGCAGAAUGAACCUCAUCUUGUCCAUUUUCUGCUCCAGAUGAUGAGUCAGUCUUUUUUUUUUUUUUUUUUCUCAGAAUACUCUGAUUGCUUUCAUGAGAAAGUUGUAUUAGAAGCCACAAUCUGGGUGUCAUUGCUUCUUGGUCUUUCUGUUUUUGUUUUAUUUUGUUUUGUUCAAUGGCCGCACCCACGGCUCACAGAAGUUCUGGGUCAGGGAUUCAAUCCAAGCUGCAGCUGCAACCUCGGCCACAGCUACAGCAAUAAUGGAUCCUUAACCCACUUUGCUACAGCAGGAACUCUGCCUCUUGGUCUUUUUGAUGGACAGAGCUAGGAACUAUUUUUUAAGAGAAAAAAAAAAAGAUCAUAAGACUAUUCUGAUAUAUUUCAUUCAAAUUUCAUAUUAGAAGGUUUUUAUUUAACGUCUUUAAUUUUAUGCUUUCUCUUAUGCUAGAAAUCUUGGUUUCUAGUGACCGUCCAAUAAAUAUGUAUUUGCUUUACAUUAAUAACAAAUAAUGGUCUCAUAAUAACAAUAUUAAUAUUACUACUAAUAGUAAGAGUUUUGAAUGAAGAUUUAUUGGCUCUUCUUUUGAUCCUCAGAACAAUUUUUCCUAGAGCUGUAGACUCAAAAUAUUGUUUCCAGUUACACCAAGGAGGUUUUUUCUGUGUGGUUCUGCUACAACCGGAUAGAGACAGGGUUAAUUGCUCUCGGUUUUUAGGAAUUACUUUUUAUCUGACUUCUAUUUCAUUAGUUAAACUACACGACACAAGUGCAUGUUUCUGAACUGAGCAGGACCCUGUGAGGCCCUCCCAAAAUAGACCUCCCCCUACUCAAGUCCGCUGCCUGCCUUUUGUCUAUAGAAAAACUUUAGUCAAAGAAGCCCUAUAAUCAGAGAAGUGAGAAAAUACAGAGAAAAAGGAAAACAGUCCAGCAAGGCAAAAUAGGAAUAUAGCCAUUUAAAGAAGUCAAGGACCUUUUAGUUAGUUCUUCUUUAAGGACUAUAGAUAGGAGUUCCCGUCGCGGCACAGCAGAAACGAAACUGACUAGGAACCAUGAGGUGGCGGGUUGGAUCCCUGGCCUUGCUCAGUGGGUUAAGGAUCCAGCGUUGCUGUGGGCUGUGGUCUAGUUUGCAGAGGUGGCUCGGAUCUGACAUUGCUGUGACUCUGGCGCAAGCUGGCAGCUGCAGCUCCGAUUUGGACUCCUAGCCAGAGAACCUCCAUCUGCUGUGGGUGCGGCCCUAAAAGAACAAAAGCCAAANAAAAAAAAAAAAAAAAAAAAAAAAAA